This 468-nucleotide ribosomal RNA is filed under the name uncultured bacterium. RNAcentral describes it as "partial 16S ribosomal RNA". It matches the Rfam family "Bacterial small subunit ribosomal RNA", at positions 28 to 507 of the family's 1533-position model. The record is from RNAcentral.
GACGAACGCUGGCGGCGUGCUUAACACAUGCAAGUCGAACGGAAAGGCCCUGCUUUUGUGGGGUGCUCGAGUGGCGAACGGGUGAGUAACACGUGAGUAACCUGCCCUUGACUUUGGGAUAACUUCAGGAAACUGGGGCUAAUACCGGAUAGGAGCUCCUGCUGCAUGGUGGGGGUUGGAAAGUUUCGGCGGUUGGGGAUGGACUCGCGGCUUAUCAGCUUGUUGGUGGGGUAGUGGCUUACCAAGGCCUUGACGGGUAGCCGGCCUGAGAGGGUGACCGGCCACAUUGGGACUGAGAUACGGCCCAGACUCCUACGGGAGGCAGCAGUGGGGAAGAGUGCACAAUGGGCGGAAGCCUGAUGCAGCACAGCCGCGUGCGGGAUGACGGCCUUCGGGUUGGAAACCGCUUUCGCCUGUGACGAAGCGUGAGUGACGGUAAUGGGUAAAGAAGCACCGGCUAACUACGUG